GACGAACGCUGGCGGCGUGCUUAACACCUGCAAGUCGAACGGAAAGGCCCUGCUUUUGUGGGGUGCUCGAGUGGCGAACGGGUGAGUAACACGUGAGUAACCUGCCCUUGACUUUGGGAUAACUUCAGGAAACUGAGGCUAAUACCGGCUAGGAGCUCCUGCUGCAUGGUGGGGGUUGGAACGUUUCGGCGGUUGGGGAUGGACUCGCGGCUUAUCAGCUUGUUGGUGGGGUAGUUGCUUACCAAGGCUUUGACGGGUAGCCGGCCUGAGAGGGUGACCGGCCACAUUGGGACUGAGAUACGGCCCAGACUCCUACGGGAGGCAGCAGUGGGGAAUAUUGCACAAUGGGCGGAAGCCUGAUGCAGCAACGCCGCGUGCGGGAUGACGGCCUUCGGGUUGUAAAGCGCUUGCGCCUGUGACGAAGCGUGAGUGACGGUAAUGGGUAAAGAAGCACCGGCUAACUACGUG
RNAcentral lists this ribosomal RNA (468 nucleotides) under uncultured bacterium. RNAcentral describes it as "partial 16S ribosomal RNA". It matches the Rfam family "Bacterial small subunit ribosomal RNA", at positions 28 to 507 of the family's 1533-position model. The record is from RNAcentral.